UUACGACCACAUCACGUUGAAACAUCCGUUCCCAUACGAUCUCCGAAGUUAAGCAACGUCGAAUCUGGUAAGAUGGGUGACUGCUUGGGAAUACCAAGUGC
Non-coding RNA from Acanthosepion pharaonis, 101 nucleotides. Lineage: Eukaryota; Metazoa; Mollusca; Cephalopoda; Sepiida; Sepiidae. The record is from the annotation of a GenBank genome assembly.